RNAcentral lists this ribosomal RNA (315 nucleotides) under Triticum aestivum (bread wheat). Its description in RNAcentral is "partial small subunit ribosomal RNA". Lineage: Eukaryota; Viridiplantae; Streptophyta; Magnoliopsida; Poales; Poaceae. The record is from RNAcentral.
AUGGCGGAGAGGGUGAUGAGGCUGGCGUCGCAGCGCGCCGUGGUGAUCUUCGGGGCGAGCAACUGCUGCAUGUGCCACGCGGUGAAGACGCUCUUCACCGAGAUGGGCGUGAGCUGGACGGUGCACGAGCUGGACAAGGACCCCCGCGGGAAGGACGUCGAGAGGGCGCUCGCCGGCAUGGUUGGCCAGAACCCACCUGUGCCGGCCGUCUUCAUCGGCGGCGCGCUCGUUGGCCCCAUCGACAAGGUCAUGUCGCUGCACCUCGGCGGCCAGCUGGUGCCGCUCCUCCGCCAAGCCGGUGCCCUCUGGCUCUGA